This is a long non-coding RNA of Wyeomyia smithii (pitcher-plant mosquito), 793 nucleotides long. RefSeq lists it as uncharacterized. The record is from RefSeq and is a predicted model, not a curated record. Lineage: Eukaryota; Metazoa; Arthropoda; Insecta; Diptera; Culicidae. The transcript is spliced from 4 exons.
CCAGCACCCGAAUCAACCAUCCUGCUAAUCUUCACACCUCCGAUUCUGCAAUUCACUUUUUCGUUGUUGUCUGGACCCACAGUGAAAAUAUAGUGUACACUUUCUUCAUCACCUUUUGAAGAGACAAUCAUCAUUGUUGGCGUAGUGGCCAAUGCGCCCACAUCGAAAACAUUCACCCUUCGUGCUAUAUACACGAUUCACUUCUUCAUGGCAUUGAAGAUUUUUCUUGUGUUUAGCAAUGGUUUCUAGAGAGCGACCCAACUCGACCGUCUGUGCCAGCGUCAGAGGUGGUUUGGUUAAUCUCUUUCCCCUUGUCGUAUUCACAAAGAUUUCCCUGCUCACGAAGACGCAACACAAACUUUUCAAUGGACUCAUCAGGUACCUGUUCCAAAUUGCUGAAUAUGUGUCUCUCCCUUGAUAUCUGAUCCUGCUGGUAUUAUUACUUUUUGCUCUCCACGAAGAUUGAAAAAAAUAUCCUACACAUUACUGCCGGUAUAACGAAGAAGAUAAGAACGUUUUCGUACUGCUACAGUGACGUUGUUUACUUCGAGAAAAAUCUCAAAGCCUCUUUUCCAUUUCUUCCAUCUACUGGAUACAGUUGACGUGUCGCUUGGAUCGAAUUCGACUAUGUUUGCAUUUCCCGGAUUGUCCAUUACUGAUCUUCCGAUGGGCUCGUUUCACCCGUUUCGGGCACUGUUGUUAUAUUGUUUACUGUUCAGCAAAUUUCCCCUUUACUGACUAACUGUACUCAGUAUCACUUAGCUGUUUUUUUAGUUUCCCGUAUACAAUGCGA